AGACGGCAUUCAUUUCAUGGCUCAAUCGCCUGGGAACAUGUCCAGGUUGUAUAUCAACCAAUAAUAACAAUGAUGAUAAUAAUUCUGCAUUGUCUUUUUUUUUGGUAACAAUUUAAAUAUAAUUUUAAGAUUAUAAAAUACAUUUCUUAUGUAUUUCUUUGUGGUGUAAUGUGACUGGGACAAGUUUUGUGGGAUUCACCCAUAUGUCAAUUUAGUAAGAAUGCUUUCACUAAGAACAUAAAUGUAAAUUUAAUUGAACAGGCCGGGUCUGACUCAUGUCUCUAAACCGAAUUUUAAUUGGCUGAGGAGCUGAGUGAAGGUCAUAAACAGGUUGACCUUUGGUAGAGCCACACGCACAAACUCUAAAUUAUAUAUUAGGGGUCUAGAUAUUGGUUUCCACCCUCCUUUCUAAUUUUAUUUUACUGUCACAGUGGAGGAACAAAGGUCAAUCUUUCACACACCAUCUGUCAGGAUGCAAUCUUUAAAUCAUUUUGAAACCUUUUCAUUCUGAUGUUCUACAUGACCUGUGUAAGUCAGUCCACCUGUAGGAGAAUUCAACCAGUAUCAUGUUUAUUUAAUUGUCUUCAGCAUUAAAACAUGCAGUAAACAUGCUUCUUGUUCACUAACCAUAAGCAAUCCAGCUUAGCAAAACACAAUAGCUGCAUUGAAAUAGCACUGCUGCAAAUGUAAGUCAUUGUAGUUUUAUAUUUUUUCUACGCAAAUAAUCUUAUUAUACAGUGUGCCUUAUUCAGUAAAUACUGUUGCAAAAAAAAUGACAAAACUGCAGAAAAAAGGUAAAAUAAAACAACAUAGAGCAAAUAAGGCAAAACACACACAAUAAAACAAGUCAAAACAAAACAUUAUCAUGCCCUCUGUUUACAUCUGUCUGAACAGUUCAUCCUGCCGGGAAGCUUUCUGAAUCCCAAACACAGCUCUGCAAAGGCAGCUAUCUGAGGGCUUCUUCACUGCAGGUGUAAUGAAGAGGUCGAGAAAGAGAGAGUGGAGUGUGGUUCUAGAAGGUCAUUGGAGCAACGUGUUUGAAGAGCCAAGAGUACAGAUGUGCUCAGUCAAAGGUGAGCGCUAACAACUCCAGAGCAGACCACCAGAUGCACUGUAGAGUCCAUCACAAUAAAAUGAUCUGGCC
Long non-coding RNA from Cyprinus carpio (common carp), 1144 nucleotides. Lineage: Eukaryota; Metazoa; Chordata; Actinopteri; Cypriniformes; Cyprinidae. The record is from Ensembl.